This 468-nucleotide ribosomal RNA is filed under the name uncultured bacterium. RNAcentral describes it as "partial 16S ribosomal RNA". It matches the Rfam family "Bacterial small subunit ribosomal RNA", at positions 28 to 507 of the family's 1533-position model. The record is from RNAcentral.
GACGAACGCUGGCGGCGUGCUUAACACAUGCAAGUCGAACGGAAAGGCCCUGCUUUUGUGGGGUGCUCGAGUGGCGAACGGGUGAGUAACACGUGAGUAACCUGCCCUUGACUUUGGGAUAACUUCAGGAAACUGGGGCUAAUACCGGAUAGGAGCUCCUGCUGCAUGGUGGGGGUUGGAACGUUUCGGCGGUUGGGGAUGGACUCGCGGCUUAUCAGCUUGUUGGUGGGGUAGUGGCUUACCAAGGCUUUGACGGGUAGCCGGCCUGAGAGGGUGACCGGCCACAAUGGGACUGAGAGACGGCCCAGACUCCUACGGGAGGCAGCAGUGGGGAAUAUUGCACAAUGGGCGGAAGCCUGAUGCAGCAACGCCGCGUGCGGGAUGACGGCCUUCGGGUUGUAAACCGCUUUCGCCUGUGACGAAGCGUGAGUGACGGUAAUGGGUAAAGAAGCACCGGCUAACUACGUG